Long non-coding RNA from Ostrinia nubilalis (European corn borer), 407 nucleotides. RefSeq lists it as uncharacterized. The transcript is spliced from 3 exons. NCBI's taxonomy places the organism in Eukaryota, Metazoa, Arthropoda, Insecta, Lepidoptera, Crambidae. The record is from RefSeq and is a predicted model, not a curated record.
CUUGGAUGAAAUUCCUCGCGAACCUCCAAUGGAAGGAAUUGAUGGACUUCAGGGACCUCAGGGACCUUUGGGACCUCAGGGACCUCUGGGACCUCAGGGACCUCAGGGACCCCAGGGACCUCAGCCAGGCGCUGGGUCUGAGGCAACUGGUAUGUCUCCUACGCAAGGGACUACUCAAAACGAAGCUAUGGGGGCAGCCUCGAGAUUCACUACAAGAACGACCACGCAGUAUCGGCGUCGACGCACCCCCGCAGUCCGAUUGACGUUUGAAGAGGACUGUGACUACCUCGCUUAUUAUUGCUUAAAAGCUUACGACACCGGACAAGUUUGUGGAAGGACAUUGUACUACCAAACCCUGAACUUUAAGAACUAUUGCAUGCUAGACUUCGUGAACUGCAUGGAGCGAU